UAAUAAUAGUAAUAAAGGGUUUAUUGAGACAAGCAGCUCUGUAGCUGAAAAUAAACAUUUUACAGGAGAAAUAUCCUAAUAUUACAUGCUUAAAAUUCAUCACAAAUUUAGUCAGUGUCCACGAGUUAAUUAUUUUGAUUAUUGUGGGCACUGCACUAUUUUUGUAUGUGUGUAUCCGGGCCGGGCACGUAUGGGGAGCGGCUUCUGGUGGCGGACACUGUGGCUGGGAAGGGGAGCUGCCGGAGGGAGUAGGCUCCUGUGGCGCCAGUGGAGAAGCUUUGUGGCAAGCUGGUGGAGGAGGUGUUGGUAGCGAGUGUGAAGGGUGGUGAGGUGUAGGGUGUGGAGGGCCUCCUGGCUCAGGCGUGUAGAUGGGAGCAGGAGAAGAAAGAACAAAGGAAGAGGACGAAGAAGAAAGGAAAAAUGGAAGUGGAAGAAGAGGAGGAGCCAAGCCACAAUAUUUAGGUCCGCAGAAAACGACACGCUGAUUUAUUUGAAGUCAAGGAUGGAGAUUAAAACGGCCUUUAAAAACACCACACCCGUUUUGUCCACCGCCAUCACCACCUUCUCCCAGAUCAAGGAAGUGUAUUACGGACUCACACAAAAGGAAGAGCAGUUGUAUUGCACAGCCAAGGAGUUUGUCACAGCAUACCUAAGAAUGCACUUUAUUGUGUCUUGCAGGUUAGCACCCCUAUCACACAAAAAUGUGCAAUCUGAAAUGGAAAAGAAAAAUCUGAUACCAAAUCUAACACACACAAUCAUUCACAAAUAAUCACCACUCCAAUGCUUACCAUAAACUAAUUUGAAGUAAUAUCCCACUCAAUUCAAAACUCAAGAAAACUGCUUGUUCAGCUUUAUAUUCACCCUCGCGUUGGAUUUGGUAAAUUGAGGUUGUUAUUUAAGCCUCAUUAUCACUGCAAUAAAGUACUAAGCAUUAACCUGAACCACGUGACUCCUAUACUGAUCUCCG
Molecule: long non-coding RNA, 967 nt
Organism: Portunus trituberculatus (swimming crab)
Lineage: Eukaryota; Metazoa; Arthropoda; Malacostraca; Decapoda; Portunidae
Exons: 4
Source: RefSeq, a predicted model, not a curated record